UUUCCGUAGGUGAACCUGCGGAAGGAUCAUUAAUGAGUUGUCAUGGGGUUCGAUGCUGGCAGCCAAUUUUUGGAUGCAUGUGCUUGCCCUAACAAUCAUCUUCCAAACACCUGUGCACAUUUUUGAGGGAGUCUUGAGUUGGUUGCCGCUCUUGGGUGAUUUUCUCAAAUUCCCUUAAAUCAUUAUACGCUAUUAACAAUGUUGAACGUGCUCUGUGCCGCAAGGCUAUUAAUAUAAUACAACUUUUAACAACGGAUCUCUUGGCUCUC
Molecule: unclassified non-coding RNA, 269 nt
Filed under: plant metagenome
Description: partial contains small subunit ribosomal RNA, internal transcribed spacer 1, and 5.8S ribosomal RNA
Source: RNAcentral